AAAUCGGUCCUUUUCAGGACCACCAGAAAUUCAUAGAGAUCAUUU
This is a non-coding RNA of Drosophila persimilis, 45 nucleotides long. NCBI's taxonomy places the organism in Eukaryota, Metazoa, Arthropoda, Insecta, Diptera, Drosophilidae. The record is from Rfam.